GAUGAACGCUGGCGGCGUGCCUAAUACAUGCAAGUAGAACGCUGAAGGAGGAGCUUGCCCUUCUGGAUGAGUUGCGCACGGGUGAGUAACGCGUAGGUAACCUGCCUGGUAGCGGGGGAUAACUAUUGGAAACGAUAGCUAAUAUCGCAUGACAACAGUUAUAGCAUGAUAACUGUUUAAAAGAGGCAACUGCUCCACUACCAGAUGGACCUGCGUUGUAUUAGCUAGUUGGUGAGGUAAAGGCUCACCAAGGCGACGAGACAUCGCCGACCUGCGAGGGUGAACGGCCACAAUGGGACUGAGACACGGGCCAGACUCCUACGGGGGGGAGCAGGAGGGGAACUUCGGGAAUGGACGGAAGGCUGACCGAGCAACGCCCGGUGGGUGGAUAAAGUUUUCGGAUCGGAAAGCUCUGUUGAAAGAGGAGAACGAAUGUGGGAGUGGAAUGUGCACGCUGUGACGGUAUCUUACCAGAAAGGGACGGCUAACUACGUG
RNAcentral lists this ribosomal RNA (495 nucleotides) under uncultured bacterium. Its description in RNAcentral is "partial 16S ribosomal RNA". It matches the Rfam family "Bacterial small subunit ribosomal RNA", at positions 28 to 507 of the family's 1533-position model. The record is from RNAcentral.